Molecule: ribosomal RNA, 403 nt
Filed under: bacterium
Lineage: Bacteria
Description: partial 16S ribosomal RNA
Rfam family: Bacterial small subunit ribosomal RNA
Source: RNAcentral
UGUGGAAUAUUGCACAAUGGGGGAAACCCUGAUGCAGCGACGCCGCGUGAACGAAGAAGGUAUUCGUAUCGUAAAGUUCUGUCCUAUGGGAAGAUAAUGACAGUACCAUAGAAGAAAGCUCCGGCUAAAUACGUGCCAGCAGCCGCGGUAAUACGUAUGGAGCGAGCGUUGUCCGGAAUUAUUGUGCGUAAAGGGUACGCAGGCGGUUUAAUAAGUCGAAUGUUAAAGAUCGGGGCUCAACCCCGCAAAGCAUUGGAAACUGAUAAACUUGAGUAGUGGAGAGGAAAGUGGAAUUCCUAGUGUAGUGGUGAAAUACGUAGAUAUUAGGAGGAAUACCAGUAGCGAAGGCGACUUUCUGGACACAAACUGACGCUGAGGUACGAAAGCGUGGGGAGCAAACAGG